GAACUACUCAGAUGGAGGGGAUAUGCUGGUCGCGCAAGCCCCUCUUCUGUCCGUGUACGCUCGGCACUCGGGCAAGCUUCGAGCGGGAAGAGAAGGACAGACCAUGGAUAUAAGAAUAUAGGGAUGGAGCAUGAGUUCACGGGGGAGAAGCCAUUGCGCGACGAAGGGACGAGCAAAAAGAAAAAAAAGCAAAAUGGUGCAAUGUUAUGAGCCAAAAAUCGAUCCGAUUGCCAAAAUUGGAAACAAAUAAACGUUGAUAAAAAUCGGAAGAUUACAUUUCACAGUAUCCCAAAAAAUGAUACUAGUCGCAAUUUGUGGACUGAUAUCUUGGGUCUUCCUUCAUACGUCCCCAAUACUGCUCGUAUUUGUUCGGCCCAUUUUCCACGAGAAGCCUUCGAUGACACGAACCCAUUACGAAUUCGACUAAGACCAAAUGUAUUACCGUCAAUAUUAUCAAAUGUAAUGCCUACAGAAGUGGAAGAAAGACAAGAAGAAGAUUACCUUACUUGCUCACUAUCUACAACAGACAAAGCAACGAUGGCACAACCAUCUAUGGAGGAUUAAUUAAAUAAAUAUUUAUAAACUUAAAAAUUAAAAUUCGC
Long non-coding RNA from Temnothorax curvispinosus, 602 nucleotides. RefSeq lists it as uncharacterized. The record is from RefSeq and is a predicted model, not a curated record. The transcript is spliced from 4 exons. Lineage: Eukaryota; Metazoa; Arthropoda; Insecta; Hymenoptera; Formicidae.